This 24-nucleotide non-coding RNA is filed under the name Arabidopsis thaliana (thale cress). Lineage: Eukaryota; Viridiplantae; Streptophyta; Magnoliopsida; Brassicales; Brassicaceae. The record is from RNAcentral.
ACCCAACACCUACGGAGUGUGGUU